This 2925-nucleotide ribosomal RNA is filed under the name Escherichia coli. RNAcentral describes it as "23S ribosomal RNA". It matches the Rfam family "Bacterial large subunit ribosomal RNA". The record is from RNAcentral. Lineage: Bacteria; Pseudomonadati; Pseudomonadota; Gammaproteobacteria; Enterobacterales; Enterobacteriaceae.
GGGUUGUGAGGUUAAGCGACUAAGCGUACACGGUGGAUGCCCUGGCAGUCAGAGGCGAUGAAGGACGUGCUAAUCUGCGAUAAGCGUCGGUGAGGUGAUAUGAACCGUUAUAACCGGCGAUUUCCGAAUGGGGAAACCCAGUGUGAUUCGUCACACUAUCAUUAACUGAAUCCAUAGGUUAAUGAGGCGAACCGGGGGAACUGAAACAUCUAAGUACCCCGAGGAAAAGAAAUCAACCGAGAUUCCCCCAGUAGCGGCGAGCGAACGGGGAGGAGCCCAGAGCCUGAAUCAGUGUGUGUGUUAGUGGAAGCGUCUGGAAAGGCGCGCGAUACAGGGUGACAGCCCCGUACACAAAAAUGCACAUAUUGUGAGCUCGAUGAGUAGGGCGGGACACGUGGUAUCCUGUCUGAAUAUGGGGGGACCAUCCUCCAAGGCUAAAUACUCCUGACUGACCGAUAGUGAACCAGUACCGUGAGGGAAAGGCGAAAAGAACCCCGGCGAGGGGAGUGAAAAAGAACCUGAAACCGUGUACGUACAAGCAGUGGGAGCCUCUUAAUGGGGUGACUGCGUACCUUUUGUAUAAUGGGUCAGCGACUUAUAUUCUGUAGCAAGGUUAACCGAAUAGGGGAGCCGAAGGGAAACCGAGUCUUAACUGGGCGUUAAGUUGCAGGGUAUAGACCCGAAACCCGGUGAUCUAGCCAUGGGCAGGUUGAAGGUUGGGUAACACUAACUGGAGGACCGAACCGACUAAUGUUGAAAAAUUAGCGGAUGACUUGUGGCUGGGGGUGAAAGGCCAAUCAAACCGGGAGAUAGCUGGUUCUCCCCGAAAGCUAUUUAGGUAGCGCCUCGUGAAUUCAUCUCCGGGGGUAGAGCACUGUUUCGGCAAGGGGGUCAUCCCGACUUACCAACCCGAUGCAAACUGCGAAUACCGGAGAAUGUUAUCACGGGAGACACACGGCGGGUGCUAACGUCCGUCGUGAAGAGGGAAACAACCCAGACCGCCAGCUAAGGUCCCAAAGUCAUGGUUAAGUGGGAAACGAUGUGGGAAGGCCCAGACAGCCAGGAUGUUGGCUUAGAAGCAGCCAUCAUUUAAAGAAAGCGUAAUAGCUCACUGGUCGAGUCGGCCUGCGCGGAAGAUGUAACGGGGCUAAACCAUGCACCGAAGCUGCGGCAGCGACACUAUGUGUUGUUGGGUAGGGGAGCGUUCUGUAAGCCUGUGAAGGUGGCCUGUGAGGGUUGCUGGAGGUAUCAGAAGUGCGAAUGCUGACAUAAGUAACGAUAAAGCGGGUGAAAAGCCCGCUCGCCGGAAGACCAAGGGUUCCUGUCCAACGUUAAUCGGGGCAGGGUGAGUCGACCCCUAAGGCGAGGCCGAAAGGCGUAGUCGAUGGGAAACAGGUUAAUAUUCCUGUACUUGGUGUUACUGCGAAGGGGGGACGGAGAAGGCUAUGUUGGCCGGGCGACGGUUGUCCCGGUUUAAGCGUGUAGGCUGGUUUUCCAGGCAAAUCCGGAAAACCAAGGCUGAGGCGUGAUGACGAGGCACUACGGUGCUGAAGCGACAAAUGCCCUGCUUCCAGGAAAAGCCUCUAAGCAUCAGGUAACAUCAAAUCGUACCCCAAACCGACACAGGUGGUCAGGUAGAGAAUACCAAGGCGCUUGAGAGAACUCGGGUGAAGGAACUAGGCAAAAUGGUGCCGUAACUUCGGGAGAAGGCACGCUGAUAUGUAGGUGAAGCGACUUGCUCGUGGAGCUGAAAUCAGUCGAAGAUACCAGCUGGCUGCAACUGUUUAUUAAAAACACAGCACUGUGCAAACACGAAAGUGGACGUAUACGGUGUGACGCCUGCCCGGUGCCGGAAGGUUAAUUGAUGGGGUUAGCGGUAACGCGAAGCUCUUGAUCGAAGCCCCGGUAAACGGCGGCCGUAACUAUAACGGUCCUAAGGUAGCGAAAUUCCUUGUCGGGUAAGUUCCGACCUGCACGAAUGGCGUAAUGAUGGCCAGGCUGUCUCCACCCGAGACUCAGUGAAAUUGAACUCGCUGUGAAGAUGCAGUGUACCCGCGGCAAGACGGAAAGACCCCGUGAACCUUUACUAUAGCUUGACACUGAACAUUGAGCCUUGAUGUGUAGGAUAGGUGGGAGGCUUUGAAGUGUGGACGCCAGUCUGCAUGGAGCCGACCUUGAAAUACCACCCUUUAAUGUUUGAUGUUCUAACGUUGGCCCGUAAUCCGGGUUGCGGACAGUGUCUGGUGGGUAGUUUGACUGGGGCGGUCUCCUCCUAAAGAGUAACGGAGGAGCACGAAGGUUGGCUAAUCCUGGUCGGACAUCAGGAGGUUAGUGCAAUGGCAUAAGCCAGCUUGACUGCGAGCGUGACGGCGCGAGCAGGUGCGAAAGCAGGUCAUAGUGAUCCGGUGGUUCUGAAUGGAAGGGCCAUCGCUCAACGGAUAAAAGGUACUCCGGGGAUAACAGGCUGAUACCGCCCAAGAGUUCAUAUCGACGGCGGUGUUUGGCACCUCGAUGUCGGCUCAUCACAUCCUGGGGCUGAAGUAGGUCCCAAGGGUAUGGCUGUUCGCCAUUUAAAGUGGUACGCGAGCUGGGUUUAGAACGUCGUGAGACAGUUCGGUCCCUAUCUGCCGUGGGCGCUGGAGAACUGAGGGGGGCUGCUCCUAGUACGAGAGGACCGGAGUGGACGCAUCACUGGUGUUCGGGUUGUCAUGCCAAUGGCACUGCCCGGUAGCUAAAUGCGGAAGAGAUAAGUGCUGAAAGCAUCUAAGCACGAAACUUGCCCCGAGAUGAGUUCUCCCUGAGACUUAGAGUCUCCUGAAGGAACGUUGAAGACGACGACGUUGAUAGGCCGGGUGUGUAAGCGCAGCGAUGCGUUGAGCUAACCGGUACUAAUGAACCGUGAGGCUUAACCUUACAACGCCGAAG